AUUGAACGCUGGCGGCAUGCCUUACACAUGCAAGUCGAACGGCAGCACGGGUUCUUGCACCUGGUGGCGAGUGGCGAACGGGGGAGUAAUACAUCGGAACAUGUCCUGUAGGGGGGGAUAGCCCGGCGAAAGCCGGAUUAAUACCGCAUAAGAUCUACGGUUGAAAGCGGGGGACCGUCUGACCUCGCGAUUUGCGUUUGGCAGAUGGCUGAUUAGCUAGUUGGUGGGGUAAAGGCCUACCAAGGCGACGAUCAGUAGCUGGUCUGAGAGGACGACGAGCCACACUGGGACUGAGACACGGCCCAGACUCCUACGGGAGGCAGCAGUGGGGAAUUUUGGACAAUGGGCGAAAGCCUGAUCCAGCAAUGCCGCGUGUGGGAAGAAGGCCUUCGGGUUGUAAAGCACGUUUGUCCGGAAAGAAAUCCUUGGCCCUAAUACGGUCGGGGGAUGACGGUACCGGAAGAAUAAGCACCGGCUAACUACGUG
Molecule: ribosomal RNA, 486 nt
Filed under: uncultured bacterium
Lineage: Bacteria
Description: partial 16S ribosomal RNA
Rfam family: Bacterial small subunit ribosomal RNA
Source: RNAcentral